RNAcentral lists this unclassified non-coding RNA (201 nucleotides) under Hevea brasiliensis (rubber tree). Lineage: Eukaryota; Viridiplantae; Streptophyta; Magnoliopsida; Malpighiales; Euphorbiaceae. The record is from RNAcentral.
CAAUAUCAUAUGACCUAACAUAUCAAAACAAUAUUUCAUAUGUCAUGGUGCCUAGCAGGGAAAGAUAAAGCAAUAUAAGUUUGACCUGAAUAGAUCUUGCAACUCAACUGAGACAUUUAAAAUGAUAAUUUGUGUUAACUGCAAAAACAAAUAAGGCCUAAACAGUAGAGAAUAUAAAACUUGAUAAGACAUUACAAGCAG